This 431-nucleotide ribosomal RNA is filed under the name uncultured bacterium. RNAcentral describes it as "partial 16S ribosomal RNA". It matches the Rfam family "Bacterial small subunit ribosomal RNA", at positions 29 to 507 of the family's 1533-position model. The record is from RNAcentral.
AGCGAACGCUGGCGGCAGGCUUAACACAUGCAAGUCGAGCGCCCCGCCAGGGGAGCGGCAGACGGGAGAGUAACACGUGGGAACAUACCUUUUGGUUCGGAACAACUGAGGGAAACUUCAGCUAAUACCGGAUAAGCCCUUACGGGGAAAGAUUUAUCGUCGAAAGAUUGGCCCGCGUCUGAUUAGCUAGUUGGUGAGGUAACGGCUCACCAAGGCGACGAUCAGUAGCUGGUCUGAGAGGAUGAUCAGCCUCACUGGGACUGAGACACGGCCCAGACUCCUACGGGAGGCAGCAGUGGGGAAUAUUGGACAAUGGGGGCAACCCUGAUCCAGCCAUGCCGCGUGAGUGAUGAAGGCCUUAGGGUUGUAAAGCUCUUUUGCCCGGGAAGAUAAUGACGGUACCGGGAGAAUAAGCCCCGGCUAACUUCGUG